GUCUCAGCCACGCCCCCGGACGGUGCGGUAGGGUGCAGGCUGAGGACGCUGCGAACUGCCGCGGUCGAGCCCGUGAUCUUCCUCCCGACGACUGUGCCUGGGGCUGGACGGCCUGGCCUCCUGCCGCCGCAGCCGCCUGUGAGGAGCGCGGAGCCUCCCGGACGCGGGCGCCUCCCCUUAGCUGCCCGCCGCCCUGCCUGCGCCGCCUCUUCGCGCGCGUGGGACUGUCCCCCAGGCCUCGAGCCAGGCCGAGCCGCUGCUUCUGCUUUCCAACGUGCUAUUUGCAUCGUUUGGCAUUUGGCUUCGGUUAAAGUCGGGACCUCCUCGAAGAAGGACUUGUUGGUUUUGGUGUUAAGUUUUUUGUUUGUUUCCAACAUGGCAGCCUCCAGCCGCGCACAAGUGUUAGAUCUGUACCGGGCGAUGCUGAGAGAGAGCAAGCAUUUCAGCGCCUACAAUUACAGAAUGUAUGCUAUCAGGAGGAUAAGAGAUGCCUUCCGAGAAAAUAAGAGUGUAAAGGAUCCUGUAGAAAUUCAAACCCUGGUGAAUAAAGCCAAAAGGGACCUUGAAAUAAUCCGCAGACAGAGUGAUCUUUAUCCAAAGAAAGUAUUGGACUGAGUCACUGUCCUGCUGAAUGCCCCCAGAGGCUUCAAAGAAGCACCUUGACAAUAAAACAUGAAAUUCUCAAGAGGUCCUCAGGCCCUUCACUGCUCUCAUCCCCUCACCCAGAGGAAUCCAGCCAGACUCCUAAGGUCCAUAUUGGCCAGCUGUAUUCGACUGACAAGCUUAUCAUUGAGAAUCAAGAGAAGCCCAGGACAUAGGAGCCCCACACUUGGAAAUGGCCUCCAGCAGCAGAACCAACAACCUUCAGCAUUCAUUCUGUACGGUGUGGAAACUCCCAAUGCUGGCUGAACACAGCCUCUUGCUCUGCCUGCCUUGUAGGAGCUGAUAAACUGGGUCCCAUUUGUAUCCUGUCACAGCCGUAAUGGGAAGAAAUGGCUGUGACUCCUCAAUCCAGGCAUUAGAAUGAAGAGCUGGAAGCCACUCAGAAUAAUGCCAUGUGUUGUCCUGUCUCCUCUCCAUCCCCCCAUCUUACAGAUCACCCAUGUGUAGAGCUUUUGCAGACUUUGUGUCUUAGUCCUUAAAAAUAAACAGAAUUAUCUCCCUGUCCUUUUGUACCAAAUAAACCAAUUAUAAUGAA
Molecule: RNA transcript, 1198 nt
Organism: Arvicola amphibius (Eurasian water vole)
Lineage: Eukaryota; Metazoa; Chordata; Mammalia; Rodentia; Cricetidae
Gene: Lyrm4
Gene name: LYR motif containing 4
Exons: 4
Source: RefSeq, a predicted model, not a curated record